GUGAAAUUGAACUCGCUGUGAAGAUGCAGUGUACCCGCGGCAAGACGGAAAGACCCCGUGAACCUUUACUAUAGCUUGACACUGAACAUUGAGCCUUGAUGUGUAGGAUAGGUGGGAGGCUUUGAAGCGUGGACGCCAGUCUGCAUGGAGCCGACCUUGAAAUACCACCCUUUAAUGUUUGAUGUUCUAACGUGGACCCGUAAUCCGGGUUGCGGACAGUGUCUGGUGGGUAGUUUGACUGGGGCGGUCUCCUCCUAAAGAGUAACGGAGGAGCACGAAGGUUGGCUAAUCCUGGUCGGACAUCAGGAGGUUAGUGCAAUGGCAUAAGCCA
Molecule: ribosomal RNA, 331 nt
Filed under: Salmonella enterica subsp. enterica serovar Saintpaul
Lineage: Bacteria; Pseudomonadati; Pseudomonadota; Gammaproteobacteria; Enterobacterales; Enterobacteriaceae
Also listed under: 1 other name
Description: partial 23S ribosomal RNA
Rfam family: Bacterial large subunit ribosomal RNA
Source: RNAcentral